This 1007-nucleotide long non-coding RNA is filed under the name Phasianus colchicus (ring-necked pheasant). RNAcentral describes it as "lncRNA (ENSPCLG00000015355.1)". Lineage: Eukaryota; Metazoa; Chordata; Aves; Galliformes; Phasianidae. The record is from RNAcentral.
AAAAGCACAAAGUUUGUAAAAACCCAAGAUAUAGACAAUAUUUUGAUGUUUCAAAGGGUAAUGAUGUCACACUAAAAAAAUGAUAGGCUUAUAUUAGAUAUCAGAAAAUGCUCCCUGUGAGGGUGGUGAGGCCCUGGCACAGCUGCUCAGAGAAGCUGUGGAUGCCCCAUCCUUCACAGUGCUCAAGGCCAGGUUGGAUGGAACUUUGGACAGCCAACUCUGGGAAGCGUCUCUGCCCAUGGCAGGGGUUGGGGCUGGAUGGGUUUCAGUGUCUUUUCCAACCCAGUCUGUGAUUCUGUGAUUCUGUGGUUCUGUGGUUCAGUGGUUCUGUGGUUCUGUGAUUCUAUGUGCAUGCUCCCAUCCCCAGCCCCUUCCCACGUGGGGAUGUUGGCUCCUCAUGCUAUGCUAUAGGGAAGGACAUGUGAGAAGCGUGUGUUGAUGGCCAGCAGUAUUUCCUGCAGUGGUAAUCAGUGCAGCUGCCCAGCAGGAGACCAGCACCAUGUCCCAGUGCAGGAUUGGUCCCACCAACACUAGGACCUUCAUGAAGACCCCCUGGUCUGUUGGGGUACAUGUGUGGCCAGGCUGGCACCAGUUCUGGGUCUGCUGGUCCUACCACACUCUCUUCUUACACCACUUGCACCAAGGGAAGAGGCUCCCAGCACGCAGCCCCAGGCUGCAGCUGGCCUGACAAAGCAGAUUUGAUCUUGCUGGCCUGGCGUUUCGCAACAGAAGGACAUUUUCCAGAGAAAGUCCCCAGUGGCCCCAGACCCCUCCAGUGGCAGCUGGCGCCGGCACAGAGCUCGAAUGGAAGGACGUGCAGGAAGCUUUCCAGAUCCAGAGCCCCACGGGAGGACCUUCCCUGCGUGACCAGCUGCAGCAGCUCGCACCCACGGUGCCCACGGUGCCCCAGCGCUACCUGCUUCUGCCAUCAGCCUCACUUCUCCACCCCUUGGCCUCCUGCUGCUUUAUAAUGUAUUCUGUGGCUUUUAUGUGCAAAUGCAAUAAAG